Long non-coding RNA from Phodopus roborovskii (desert hamster), 289 nucleotides. RefSeq lists it as uncharacterized. The transcript is spliced from 4 exons. Lineage: Eukaryota; Metazoa; Chordata; Mammalia; Rodentia; Cricetidae. The record is from RefSeq and is a predicted model, not a curated record.
ACGAGUGUCCUCAGAGAAAAAGUCAAAAAAGCGGGAUCACAAAGAAAUUAAACGGCCAUUGAAACUCUUUGAGAGGGUUUUUCGGGAUAGUCAUUGCUCUGGGACUCGGGAAGAAAAAGGCAAAGACAUCACAAAAGGAAGAGUGCUAGCAUGGGUUGAAAAAGAUGAUCUCUCAAAGCCUACAACUACAGAGAAAAAGUCUUCUGCAGAUGAAGUGGAAAUCAUCAGGCUAAAACCUUCCAAAUCAGGUAAAUUUUAUAAUUCAACAGGAUCUUGGAAGAAAAAAAAU